This 301-nucleotide long non-coding RNA is filed under the name Homo sapiens (human). RNAcentral describes it as "non-protein coding lnc-GTF2B-15:16". The record is from RNAcentral. Lineage: Eukaryota; Metazoa; Chordata; Mammalia; Primates; Hominidae.
GCUCAACUAAGCACUUGGUUCAAUUGUGUCAUCAGGACAUUGGAAAGUAAAGAGUGUUUGCAUUGCAAGUGACAUCUGGCUGACAGGAACUUGGAGAAAUGGGAUACGAAGUGAAUGCUGCAGUUACCACAAGCAUCAUAUUUAUCAAAAGGUUUAAGAUUCAAGAGAAAUGACAAAAAGACUGAGAAUCUCUGAGGUCCUUGGGUUUCCAGAGGUAUUCCUGCAAGGAACAGUCAAGCAGCAUCAAACCUUCAGACCUUCUGAAACAGCCUGGUUCCUCCCAGCACUGGGUCUGGUUCUG